RNAcentral lists this ribosomal RNA (526 nucleotides) under uncultured bacterium. RNAcentral's name for it is "bacterial SSU rRNA". It matches the Rfam family "Bacterial small subunit ribosomal RNA", at positions 984 to 1509 of the family's 1533-position model. The record is from RNAcentral.
ACAUCCAGCGAACUUGGCAGAGAUGCCUUGGUGCCUUCGGGAACGCUGAGACAGGUGCUGCAUGGCUGUCGUCAGCUCGUGUUGUGAAAUGUUGGGUUAAGUCCCGNAACGAGCGCAACCCUUAUCCUUUGUUGCCAGCGAUUCGGUCGGGAAACUCAAAGGAGACUGCCGGUGAUAAACCGGAGGAAGGUGGGGAUGACGUCAAGUCAUCAUGGCCCUUACGAGUAGGGCUACACACGUGCUACAAUGGCGCAUACAAAGAGAAGCGACCUCGCGAGAGCAAGCGGACCUCAUAAAGUGCGUCGUAGUCCGGAUCGGAGUCUGCAACUCGACUCCGUGAAGUCGGAAUCGCUAGUAAUCGUGGAUCAGAAUGCCACGGUGAAUACGUUCCCGGGCCUUGUACACACCGCCCGUCACACCAUGGGAGUGGGUUGCAAAAGAAGUAGGUAGCUUAACCUUCGGGAGGGCGCUUACCACUUUGUGAUUCAUGACUGGGGUGAAGUCGUAACAAGGUAGGCGUAGCGAG